GCAGAACAAGAGAGAGAGAGAAGCAAAGCUAAUUGGAUUGUUUCAAUGUUAGGGUUUGGGUUCCAUACUCUCUGGUAUCCCAAAAUGGCGAGAGCCGCUACCAGGAAGAGGACGAUCAUGUUUGGAUUCUCUGUACAUUUCUUAUCAGUGGAUAGGUAUAGCAGCGACGCAUUUUGGCGGAGAACUAAAAGGGGUUCUUCUUCUUCCCCGCUCCUUCCAUCCCAUUACCAGGAAGAGGAGGAAGAGGACGAUCAUGGCUGUUGUUCGUCUAUGUAAGAGAGUGCAAGCAACAAGCAGAAGAAGAGAGAGAGAAGCAAAAAUGGUUUUCUAAUUGGAUUGUUUCAGUGUUAGGGUUUGGGUUCCGUACUCUCUGGUAUCCCAAAAUGGCGAGAGCCGCUACCAGGAAGAGGACGAUCAUGUUUGGAUUCUCCGUACAUUUCUCAUCAGUGGAUAGGAAUAGCAGCGCCGCAUUUUGGCGGAGAACUAAAAGGGGUUCUUCUUCUUCCCCGCUCCUUCCAUCCCAUUAUUAGGAAGAGGAGGAAGAGGACGAUCAUGGCUGUUGUUCGUCUAUGUAACUUUGUGUUGGUAUCUUGAUAGUGUGAAGAUUACAAAUGAUUGCUAACAUCUCCAAACCUUUGAGACAUGCUGGAACUAAUGCUGUUACAAAAGAAAUGUUGGGAUAUGAUCCCCAAGAGGUGAAUCCUGAGGAUAUGGUACGCUUUUGCCAUGAAAUUCCCCAGGUAUGUUGACUGGAAAUGGUUUUGAGGGUGGCUUUUUGUUCAUCUCACUGAAUUGGUGCAGCCAUGAGUGACGGAAUUCAUGAAAUAUCGUGGGUAUAAUGAAAUUAGAA
Macadamia integrifolia is the source of this 850-nucleotide long non-coding RNA. RefSeq lists it as uncharacterized. Lineage: Eukaryota; Viridiplantae; Streptophyta; Magnoliopsida; Proteales; Proteaceae. The transcript is spliced from 2 exons. The record is from RefSeq and is a predicted model, not a curated record.